UUAAUCAUUUGUUUCCAGUUCAGACAACAGACUGGUCAUUGCAUAAACACGGCGCCGGGGCGCCGAAGCACAAUCUUCUGUCUUCCACGGGUUUGAAGGGUCGAUGGCCCUAGGGCCAUUCGGUAAUGAUCCCUCCGCAGGUUCACCUACGGAGA
Molecule: unclassified non-coding RNA, 155 nt
Filed under: uncultured fungus
Lineage: Eukaryota; Fungi
Description: sequence contains ITS1, 5.8S rRNA gene
Source: RNAcentral